UACGUAGGGUGCGAGCGUUAAUCGGAAUUACUGGGCGUAAAGCGUGCGUAGGCGGUUCGUUAUGUCUGCUGUGAAAUCCCCGGGCUCAACCCUGGGAAUGGCAGUGGAAACUGGCGGGCUUGAGUGUGGCAGAGGGGGGUGGAAUUCCGCGUGUAGCAGUGAAAUGCGUAGAGUAUGCGGAGGAACACCGAUGGCGAAGGCAGCCUCC
Molecule: ribosomal RNA, 208 nt
Filed under: uncultured bacterium
Lineage: Bacteria
Description: partial 16S ribosomal RNA
Rfam family: Bacterial small subunit ribosomal RNA
Source: RNAcentral